AGUGUUUGGGUAAGAUCUAGACCGAGGACUAAGGCGUAUACUAGGACAGAACUAAGUGUUGUGGCCCACAGGUGAUCCUAAAGCAACAAAAGAGGAACAAUGGAUAGGAAGAAGUGGUGUCCAGAUGUUUAAAAGGCGGCGUUCGGGACAGGAAACAAAGGCAACAAAGAAGACCUCUAAGGUUUAAAGGCGCUGCUUGCAGAGACAAGUGUAGGAAACAAAGACAGAAGACCUGACGAGAAUGUUUUAUGAUUAGAUGUUUUUGUUAUGUACAUGCACAUUAUUAUUAUUUACAAUAUAUUUCUAAGAUACAUAAAUAUGUGACCUUGUAUAUGAAAUCCAGGCUACUGUCUUAACAUCUAAUGACAUCUAAAGUUUGAAUUUACUGAUUUAACAUUGAGUUCAGUCCUUUGGCAUGACCUUACUCGGUCAGUAUUGAAGAUGUCAAGAUUAUAUUUUCAGAGAAUGUUUUCUGUAUUGUGUAGGAUGAUUUUAUGUAGAAAACAGUAAGUCACAAAGAAAUACUUUGCUGGGUUUUCACAGGCUGUGUCCCAUUUGUACAACAUAUGUGAAAUAUCUUGAGACUAAAACUUCUGAAAUCCAAACUGUUAUAUUUUAGCAUUUCAAAUGCAGCCACCUUUUGCCUAGAAUUUGAAAUAUAUACCCUUGGGUUUUUUCAGUAAUUUUUUGAGAUCUCACCCUGAGAUAUUUUUAAAGAAAUGUCCAUGUAUUAUGGGCUUGAAUUACUUGUUUAUUUUAUCAUUUUGUCCAAGUAAUUUGAAAAAAGUUUUAAUUUAAAUUUUAGUUCUCAAUUGAAAUAAAUGUAUAUGUUGAGACUAUUUUUGUCCACAAACGUAAUUGAAUCAUAUACCUUAAGAGUAAAUUAUUUUGAAGGGUAUAAGAAAUAUUUUAGUUAAGUGUUUAAAAACGUUUACACAGUAGUAUAGCAGUAUAUAAUAGUUACAGAAUAUGUAAUUUAUGUGUGACACAUCUAAAUAUUCUGUUACUGAUUUAUUUGACUUGUUUAUGUGUUAUAUUUGUCAAAUGAAUAAAUUUUCAACGGUUA
Non-coding RNA from Misgurnus anguillicaudatus (oriental weatherfish), 1066 nucleotides. NCBI's taxonomy places the organism in Eukaryota, Metazoa, Chordata, Actinopteri, Cypriniformes, Cobitidae. The record is from RefSeq and is a predicted model, not a curated record.